Molecule: ribosomal RNA, 424 nt
Filed under: uncultured Anaerolineae bacterium
Lineage: Bacteria; Bacillati; Chloroflexota; Anaerolineae
Description: partial 16S ribosomal RNA
Rfam family: Bacterial small subunit ribosomal RNA
Source: RNAcentral
CCUACGGGAGGCAGCAGUGGGGAAUUUUGGACAAUGGGCGAAAGCCUGAUCCAGCAACGCCGCGUGCGCGAUGAAGGCCUUCGGGCUGUAAAGCGCUUUUCGGGAGGAUGAGCAAGGACAGUACUCCCGGAAUAAGUCUCGGCUAACUACGUGCCAGCAGCCGCGGUAAAACGUAGGAGGCGAGCGUUAUCCGGAUUCACUGGGCGUAAAGCGCGUGCAGGCGGUUCGACAAGUUGGGCGUGAAAGCUCCCGGCUCAACUGGGAGAGGACGUCCAAUACUGGCGGGCUAGAGGAAGGGAGAGGGAGGUGGAAUUCCCGGUGUAGCGGUAAAAUGCGUAGAUAUCGGGAGGAACACCAGUGGCGAAGGCGGCCUCCUGGCCCUUUCCUGACGCUCAGAGGCGAAAGCUAGGGGAGCAAACGGGAU